This 442-nucleotide ribosomal RNA is filed under the name uncultured soil bacterium. Its description in RNAcentral is "bacterial SSU rRNA". It matches the Rfam family "Bacterial small subunit ribosomal RNA", at positions 26 to 517 of the family's 1533-position model. The record is from RNAcentral.
AGAACGAACGCUGGCGGCAUGCCUAAUACAUGCAAGUCGAACGAACACUUCGGUGUUAGUGGCGCACGGGUGCGUAACGCGUGGGAAUCUGCCCUUGGGUUCGGAAUAACAGUUGGAAACGACUGCUAAUACCGGAUGAUAUCGAAAGAUCAAAGAUUUAUCGCCCAGGGAUGAGCCCGCGUAGGAUUAGCUAGUUGGUGAGGUAAAGGCUCACCAAGGCGACGAUCCUUAGCUGGUCUGAGGGGAUGAUCAGCCACACUGGGACUGAGACACGGCCCAGACUCCUACGGGAGCAGCAGUAGGGAAUAUUGGACAAUGGGCGCAAGCCUGAUCCAGCAAUGCCGCGUGAGUGAUGAAGGCCUUAGGGUUGUAGAGCUCUUUACCGAGAUGAUAAUGACAGUAUCGGAGAAUAAGCCCCGGACUAACUCCGUACCAGCAGCCG